UUCCUGUGGUCAUAGGAAGCAUGAUCAGGG
Molecule: non-coding RNA, 30 nt
Filed under: Homo sapiens (human)
Lineage: Eukaryota; Metazoa; Chordata; Mammalia; Primates; Hominidae
Source: RNAcentral